GAGUUUUCUAUUCUGGAUGCCAGGUAUCUUCGUUAGUAUUAAUUUGUCUGGCAUAAUCAUUUAAUUUUUUAUGGUACCACAAGGACUAAUGGAUGCUUUUUGUUCUGAAAAUGAACUUUGGACAUUCAUUCUUGUAGAUAUGCUUUUUCCUCACUAUUUUGUGUAUUUAGUAUUUACAAUAUUUUUGUACCUCUGGAUAUGAAAGGGAUAACUUAAAGGAAUACUUUGGGUAUUGCUAUGCCUUUCAUCACAAUUAUUUACAUAUCCGCUACCACUGUCACUACUGCUACUGCUCACGAUACUUUGCAUUGGUACUAUUGUAAUGACCACAAUCUAAUGUUGCCAAGAGCAGUGGGACUGCCAUCAAAUUAUUGUUGGGACUGCCAAGUGCCAACACCUUAUUACUAUGUUUGGCCACUGCUACUACCUCUCUGUAUGCUGCUGACACAGCCUCUUCCUGUCUUCAUUCAUUGCCAUCAGUAACUUGCUAACUUACAUCUCUACUAUCUUUUACAUUGACAUGACCUGUGCAACUACUGCAUUGAUGUUGCAGCCUUCAUCUUCUUUGUGGUUGCAAUUUGCAAACCAUCACAUUGAAUUGUUUAAAAAUGAAAUAUUUUUUCAUUGAUUCUUU
RNAcentral lists this unclassified non-coding RNA (634 nucleotides) under Hevea brasiliensis (rubber tree). The record is from RNAcentral. Lineage: Eukaryota; Viridiplantae; Streptophyta; Magnoliopsida; Malpighiales; Euphorbiaceae.